RNAcentral lists this ribosomal RNA (458 nucleotides) under uncultured bacterium. RNAcentral's name for it is "bacterial SSU rRNA". It matches the Rfam family "Bacterial small subunit ribosomal RNA", at positions 335 to 784 of the family's 1533-position model. The record is from RNAcentral.
ACUCCUACGGGAGGCAGCAGUGGGGAAUAUUGCACAAUGGGGGAAACCCUGAUGCAGCCAUGCCGCGUGUGUGAAGAAGGCCUUCGGGUUGUAAAGCACUUUCAGUAGGGAGGAAGGUAGUGUAGUUAACACCUGCAUUAUUUGACGUUACCUACAGAAGAAGCACCGGCUAACUCCGUGCCAGCAGCCGCGGUAAUACGGAGGGUGCGAGCGUUAAUCGGAAUUACUGGGCGUAAAGCGCAUGCAGGUGGUUUGUUAAGUCAGAUGUGAAAGCCCGGGGCGUCAACCUCGGAAUUGCAUUUGAAACUGGCAGACUAGAGUACUGUAGAGGGGGGUAGAAUUUCAGGUGUAGCGGUGAAAUGCGUAGAGAUCUGAAGGAAUACCGGUGGCGAAGGCGGCCCCCUGGACAGAUACUGACACUCAGAUGCGAAAGCGUGGGGAGCAAACAGGAUUAGAUA